AAAUUAAAGAGGCAACAUGUGUAACAUACUUGGAACAACGCCUGGCCUGUAGUAACUGCUCAAUAAGGCUUAGCUAUCAUUUAUGGCCAGACUCACUGUGCAAGAAAUUUUGGAAAAUGUACAACUGAGCAGCUCUAGAAAUUUUACCUCUGAAACUGCCUAUUCAGAGCAGUCCUGGAAUGGCAAUAGCCCUCCUCACCUCUGCAACAACCGUAUUCUAGCCCUGCAGUAAGACACCCAUUUCACAUCACCAAGAGGAAACUGGAGAGCUGUCAAUGCAUCCCAAGUUUCUCAGAACAUUUUAUGACAGCCAUUCAUUUCCAGAUUGCCUGACCCGGGAGUUUAAAAAAAAAAAAAGAAGCUUUUUGUGUAUGAGAAGAUAAAGAGGUAAGAAAAGGGGACAAUGGGGUCUGGCAGAAAAAACAAAAAAGAGGGAGAUAAAAGGCAAUACAGAACUGUUGAUAAUGUGCCCUCCGCUUUACACAGGGCGCUAAAGGAGACUGAACCACUAGGUGGCAGCAGAUGAGCAGAUGAACCAAAAACAACCAAUUGCCUCCCUUUCAGGAAGCUUUGCACCAAUCCCAACCUACAGGACAUCUCCUCCCAUGGCAUACACUCAACUGUGCACAAGACGGUGCUGGGAUGGCGCCUGGCCUUGGAUUAACUGAGCUGCUGUUGUACGCACUGCUGCACCUGGCACCUCAGACAGGCUGCGAGGACGGAAGCGGCAGCAGGUAAAUUAUCCCUAACAAGGUUCAUGCCCACAAGUGCGAGAAAAGCCGGAUCCUGGCUCUCC
Molecule: long non-coding RNA, 796 nt
Organism: Leopardus geoffroyi (Geoffroy's cat)
Lineage: Eukaryota; Metazoa; Chordata; Mammalia; Carnivora; Felidae
Exons: 3
Source: RefSeq, a predicted model, not a curated record